Molecule: long non-coding RNA, 1264 nt
Filed under: Homo sapiens (human)
Lineage: Eukaryota; Metazoa; Chordata; Mammalia; Primates; Hominidae
Description: novel transcript
Source: RNAcentral
UGUGCCCCUGCGAAGUUGGUGGUGAUUGUGGUGGUGGAGCUAAUGACAUGUGUGCAGAAACUCUUCUGAAUGGGACUUCCCUGAUCCUGUUUUUACCUGAUCUUCAUGCUCAAUAGAAAAAGCCUCAGCUUUGGAAUCAGCUUCCCAGUGAACACCGAGAGUUGAGUUUAGCAACUGUUUGGACUGGCCAUGUAACAGGGCCGUCCAGGUAGCAUGGCAUGGUACUGGAACACUAUGUCUUCUCUCUGACCUCUCGGAAUAUCUCUGUGAUUCAAUGUGUUGGCCCAUUGGAGGCCCUGGACUGGUUAAAACCUGGAGGUUUGAGAAACCCCUGAUCUUCUCCAUACUCUUCACAAGGGCAAUGGCUGGCCAAGAUUACAAAUUAGUGACUGUUGAGGCUGGAAUCUGUACCGAGGUCAUGGGAACCCCCUGCACUGCCCCUUCUAAUCACCCUCCUGCUUGGACCCUGGGAGUAUGACAAAGAGUCAGAUAAGACAACUGAGGCUGAAGAUCACACAACCAGUAAAUGGAACAGCCAGAAAUCAAAUGUUAUAUAUUGGCCCUGAAGUGGGGAUAAAGCAGCUAAAAGAAAGUGUACUUUACAUUAAAUUUUAAGAUUUAUGAGACAGGCAGAAAAAUCACAAAAAGGAAAAAAAGUCAGUUUGAAGUGUGAAAUCAAGUGAAUGAAGUAAGACAGAAGCAAUAAUCUCUACAACAAAAGAUGAGAACUUGCCUCCUCUAAAUCCCAUACACACAUGGCUAUUUGUUCCAAGCUUAUGUGGAUCAUCGCUAAUUUACAAACAGUGGGUGAUGUGCUAUAAAGAAAAUGACUCAUUGGCCCAUCUGUAAUUUAAAUAUGUGACAAAAUGUUUAAAUGUUUCAAACAAUGGUUAAUUAUUAGAGACUUAACAGUUUGAAAACAAGUGUGGAGCUUUUUUUUUUUUUUUUCUGUUUUUUUGGCUUCAUUUUGAACCAGCCCAAAUGGACAUCAGGUGUUUGACUCUUCCUGAGAUGCAGUACAUAAUCUUUAAUUGGACACCUUGUUGGAAAAUAAGGAGGAAAGUAUCCAUUUUUUUUUUUUAGAAUAGCCUGGCCAACAUUUAUGUACUGAAUGCUAAUAUGUAUAAUUGAAAAAAUAAAAAAUUCUAGGUCUUACUUAAGAUUUUCAUCUACCAUGAGAAGUCUUUCAUUCAUUUUCUUAGCACAAAGACAGCCCCACUCUCUAUACAUGAAUAUGUAAAAAUAAAACUUCAAAUUACUUUCA